UGGCAUGCUGGGAGUGGGCCGAACGUUCGGAAUGGAGGCAGUACUUAAGGUAAAAUGGGGAAUCCUGACGCCACUUUUCCCAUGCAAUCUUCUUCUUCCUCAAACUCAAACUUUCUAGAAAUCUCAAACUCUCCUCCUUCUCUCUAAACCUCCCAACCUUCUCUCUAAAAUUCUAACCAAUCUACUGUUCCGAUCACCAUUCAGAUCACACCUGAAGACUUCUGGUGGUCUCCUCUUCCA
This 240-nucleotide long non-coding RNA is filed under the name Vigna radiata. RNAcentral's name for it is "long non-coding RNA (VRAD_LNC009473)". Lineage: Eukaryota; Viridiplantae; Streptophyta; Magnoliopsida; Fabales; Fabaceae. The record is from RNAcentral.